AGCAAGUGAUGGCCGUAAAACGGCAUGAAAGCAGCGUCACAAGUAGCGGGUCUCGGCUCUGAUUUGCUGCGGCAGGAAAAACACACCAAGUGUGAGCCGGAGUCGCACAGCGGCUUCAGCCAAUCAGCGAGCUCCAGCGCGGCUUUUCGCACGGCAUUAUGGGAUGCCAUCUCCCCCCUCCCCAACUUCUGGCAAUCAGGAAUCCUGUCUCCUUGGCAACCGCCCUCCGUGUCUGGUCACGUGCAGAGAGAGCGAGGUGUGUAUAGCGCUGACAGACACCGGAGCGGUGCGCAUUAAACCUGGAUUAAUAAUGGCAGCCAUGUUAAUAUCUGUGGAUAACAUCUCAUUAUAC
Molecule: non-coding RNA, 352 nt
Organism: Pelobates cultripes (western spadefoot toad)
Lineage: Eukaryota; Metazoa; Chordata; Amphibia; Anura; Pelobatidae
Source: the annotation of a GenBank genome assembly